This 915-nucleotide ribosomal RNA is filed under the name uncultured bacterium. Its description in RNAcentral is "bacterial SSU rRNA". It matches the Rfam family "Bacterial small subunit ribosomal RNA", at positions 8 to 923 of the family's 1533-position model. The record is from RNAcentral.
AGAGGUUGAUCAUGGCUCAGGAUGAACAGCUAGCGGCAGGCUUAAUACAUGCAAGUCGAGGGGCAGCACGGGGGCAACCCUGGUGGCGACCGGCAAACGGGUGCGGAACACGUACGCAACCUUCCCAAAACUGGUGAAUAGCCUUCCGAAAGGGAGAUUAAUACACCGUAACUUAAUGAAGUGGCAUCACUUUAUUAAUAUAGCUCCGGCGGUUUUGGAUGGGCGUGCGCCUGAUUAGGUAGUUGGUGAGGUAACGGCUCACCAAGCCUGCGAUCAGUAACUGGUGUGAGAGCACGACCAGUCACACGGGCACUGAGACACGGGCCCGACUCCUACGGGAGGCAGCAGUAAGGAAUAUUGGUCAAUGGACGCAAGUCUGAACCAGCCAUGCCGCGUGAAGGAUUAAGGCCCUCUGGGUUGUAAACUUCUUUUAUAGGGGACGAAAAAAGGGCAUUCUUGCUCACUUGACGGUACCCUAGGAAUAAGCACCGGCUAACUCCGUGCCAGCAGCCGCGGUAAUACGGAGGGUGCAAGCGUUAUCCGGAUUUACUGGGUUUAAAGGGUGCGUAGGUGGGUUGGUAAGUCAGUGGUGAAAUCUUCGAGCUUAACUCGGAAACUGCCAUUGAUACUAUCAAUCUUGAAUCAUCUAGAGGUAAGCGGAAUAUGUCAUGUAGCGGUGAAAUGCUUAGAUAUGACAUAGAACACCAAUUGCGAAGGCAGCUUACUAUGGAUGCAUUGACACUGAGGCACGAAAGCGUGGGGAUCAAACAGGAUUAGAUACCCUGGUAGUCCACGCCCUAAACGAUGGAUACUCGACAUUUGUGAUAUACUAUAAGUGUCUGAGCGAAAGCAUUAAGUAUCCCACCUGGGAAGUACGACCGCAAGGUUGAAACUCAANGAAUUGANGGGGGUCCG